This 254-nucleotide ribosomal RNA is filed under the name uncultured bacterium. Its description in RNAcentral is "partial 16S ribosomal RNA". It matches the Rfam family "Bacterial small subunit ribosomal RNA", at positions 524 to 776 of the family's 1533-position model. The record is from RNAcentral.
UACGUAGGGGGCGAGCUUUGUCCGGAAUUAUUGGGCGUAAAGAGCUCGUAGGCGGUGUGUCACGUCGGCCGUGAAAACCUGCAGCUUAACUGUGGGCGUGCGGUCGAUACGGGCAUCACUGGAGUUCGGCAGGGGAGACUGGAAUUCCUGGUGUAGCGGUGAAAUGCGCAGAUAUCAGGAGGAACACCGGUGGCGAAGGCGGGUCUCUGGGCCGAUACUGACGCUGAGGAGCGAAAGCGUGGGGAGCAAACAGG